GUACACGCUGUGACUAGCAUAUCAAUAAGCGGAGGAAAAGAAACUAACAAGGAUUCCCUUAGUAACGGCGAGUGAAGCGGGAAGAGCUCAAAUUUGAAAUCUUCAAGGUUCUACCUUGACGAAUUGUAGUUUAAAGAAGUGUUUUCUGUUGAGGUUUUGGUAAAAGUUCUUUGGAAUAGGACAUCAUAGAGGGUGAGAAUCCCGUAUUUGACCUUUACUUUCAACUUUGUGAUACACUUUCAAAGAGUCGGAUUGUUUGGGAAUGCGGUCCAAAAUGGGUGGUAAAUUUCAUCUAAAGCUAAAUAUUGGCGAGAGACCGAUAGCGAACAAGUACCGUGAGGGAAAGAUGAAAAGAACUUUGAAAAGAGAGUUAAACAGUACGUGAAAUUGUCAAAAGGGAAGCGUUUGACACCAGUGUUGUUUUUCUGAAAAUCAAUUAAAGAACUGUUUAUGCUAAGUUGUUUAGACUUUAUCAGCUAACUGUUUAGUUUUGAGCUUUUCUUUAAUGCACUUUUCAGUUAACAAGUCAACAUCAAUUUCUUUUGCUGUAAAAAAGCUUGAGGAAGGUGGCUUGAGAUUCGUCUUAAGUGUUUAUAGCCUCUUGCCUAUGCAGUCGGAGAGAUUGAGGUCUGCAGCGUAGAUCCUUCGGGGCUAAAUGCAUUUGUGCUAAGUUAUAGCAUUUUAUAGACAACUUGUUGACUAUGAUUUGUCUUGUAGCUUACUCGCUUAUGUUAUUUUACCUACGCUUAGGAUGUUGACAGCAGUAUAGACUGU
RNAcentral lists this ribosomal RNA (774 nucleotides) under uncultured Neocallimastigales. RNAcentral describes it as "partial large subunit ribosomal RNA". It matches the Rfam family "Eukaryotic large subunit ribosomal RNA", at positions 22 to 637 of the family's 3401-position model. The record is from RNAcentral. Lineage: Eukaryota; Fungi; Neocallimastigomycota; Neocallimastigomycetes; Neocallimastigales.